Molecule: ribosomal RNA, 378 nt
Filed under: uncultured bacterium
Lineage: Bacteria
Description: bacterial SSU rRNA
Rfam family: Bacterial small subunit ribosomal RNA
Source: RNAcentral
GACGAACGCUGGCGGCGUGCUUAACACAUGCGAGUCGAGCGGUAAGGCCCUUUCGGGGGUACACGAGCGGCGAACGGGUGAGUAACACGUGGGUGACCUGCCCUUAGCUCUGGGAUAAGCCUGGGAAACUGGGUCUAAUACCGGAUAUGACUCCAUGACGCAUGUUGUGGGGUGGAAAGCCUUGUGCGGCUAGGGAUGGGCCCGCGGCCUAUCAGCUUGUUGGUGGGGUGAUGGCCUACCAAGGCGACGACGGGUAGCCGGCCUGAGAGGGCGACCGGCCGCACUGGGACUGAGACACGGCCCAGACUCCUACGGGAGGCAGCAGUGGGGAAUCUUGCGCAAUGGGCGAAAGCCUGACGCAGCGACGCCGCGUGGGGA